This 2901-nucleotide ribosomal RNA is filed under the name Escherichia coli. RNAcentral describes it as "bacterial LSU rRNA". It matches the Rfam family "Bacterial large subunit ribosomal RNA". Lineage: Bacteria; Pseudomonadati; Pseudomonadota; Gammaproteobacteria; Enterobacterales; Enterobacteriaceae. RNAcentral also lists the same sequence under 1 other name. The record is from RNAcentral.
UUAAGCGACUAAGCGUACACGGUGGAUGCCCUGGCAGUCAGAGGCGAUGAAGGACGUGCUAAUCUGCGAUAAGCGUCGGUAAGGUGAUAUGAACCGUUAUAACCGGCGAUUUCCGAAUGGGGAAACCCAGUGUGUUUCGACACACUAUCAUUAACUGAAUCCAUAGGUUAAUGAGGCGAACCGGGGGAACUGAAACAUCUAAGUACCCCGAGGAAAAGAAAUCAACCGAGAUUCCCCCAGUAGCGGCGAGCGAACGGGGAGCAGCCCAGAGCCUGAAUCAGUGUGUGUGUUAGUGGAAGCGUCUGGAAAGGCGUGCGAUACAGGGUGACAGCCCCGUACACAAAAAUGCACAUGCUGUGAGCUCGAUGAGUAGGGCGGGACACGUGGUAUCCUGUCUGAAUAUGGGGGGACCAUCCUCCAAGGCUAAAUACUCCUGACUGACCGAUAGUGAACCAGUACCGUGAGGGAAAGGCGAAAAGAACCCCGGCGAGGGGAGUGAAAAAGAACCUGAAACCGUGUACGUACAAGCAGUGGGAGCACGCUUAGGCGUGUGACUGCGUACCUUUUGUAUAAUGGGUCAGCGACUUAUAUUCUGUAGCAAGGUUAACCGAAUAGGGGAGCCGAAGGGAAACCGAGUCUUAACUGGGCGUUAAGUUGCAGGGUAUAGACCCGAAACCCGGUGAUCUAGCCAUGGGCAGGUUGAAGGUUGGGUAACACUAACUGGAGGACCGAACCGACUAAUGUUGAAAAAUUAGCGGAUGACUUGUGGCUGGGGGUGAAAGGCCAAUCAAACCGGGAGAUAGCUGGUUCUCCCCGAAAGCUAUUUAGGUAGCGCCUCGUGAAUUCAUCUCCGGGGGUAGAGCACUGUUUCGGCAAGGGGGUCAUCCCGACUUACCAACCCGAUGCAAACUGCGAAUACCGGAGAAUGUUAUCACGGGAGACACACGGCGGGUGCUAACGUCCGUCGUGAAGAGGGAAACAACCCAGACCGCCAGCUAAGGUCCCAAAGUCAUGGUUAAGUGGGAAACGAUGUGGGAAGGCCCAGACAGCCAGGAUGUUGGCUUAGAAGCAGCCAUCAUUUAAAGAAAGCGUAAUAGCUCACUGGUCGAGUCGGCCUGCGCGGAAGAUGUAACGGGGCUAAACCAUGCACCGAAGCUGCGGCAGCGACACUAUGUGUUGUUGGGUAGGGGAGCGUUCUGUAAGCCUGUGAAGGUGUACUGUGAGGUAUGCUGGAGGUAUCAGAAGUGCGAAUGCUGACAUAAGUAACGAUAAAGCGGGUGAAAAGCCCGCUCGCCGGAAGACCAAGGGUUCCUGUCCAACGUUAAUCGGGGCAGGGUGAGUCGACCCCUAAGGCGAGGCCGAAAGGCGUAGUCGAUGGGAAACAGGUUAAUAUUCCUGUACUUGGUGUUACUGCGAAGGGGGGACGGAGAAGGCUAUGUUGGCCGGGCGACGGUUGUCCCGGUUUAAGCGUGUAGGCUGGUUUUCCAGGCAAAUCCGGAAAAUCAAGGCUGAGGCGUGAUGACGAGGCACUACGGUGCUGAAGCAACAAAUGCCCUGCUUCCAGGAAAAGCCUCUAAGCAUCAGGUAACAUCAAAUCGUACCCCAAACCGACACAGGUGGUCAGGUAGAGAAUACCAAGGCGCUUGAGAGAACUCGGGUGAAGGAACUAGGCAAAAUGGUGCCGUAACUUCGGGAGAAGGCACGCUGAUAUGUAGGUGAAGUCCCUCGCGGAUGGAGCUGAAAUCAGUCGAAGAUACCAGCUGGCUGCAACUGUUUAUUAAAAACACAGCACUGUGCAAACACGAAAGUGGACGUAUACGGUGUGACGCCUGCCCGGUGCCGGAAGGUUAAUUGAUGGGGUUAGCGCAAGCGAAGCUCUUGAUCGAAGCCCCGGUAAACGGCGGCCGUAACUAUAACGGUCCUAAGGUAGCGAAAUUCCUUGUCGGGUAAGUUCCGACCUGCACGAAUGGCGUAAUGAUGGCCAGGCUGUCUCCACCCGAGACUCAGUGAAAUUGAACUCGCUGUGAAGAUGCAGUGUACCCGCGGCAAGACGGAAAGACCCCGUGAACCUUUACUAUAGCUUGACACUGAACAUUGAGCCUUGAUGUGUAGGAUAGGUGGGAGGCUUUGAAGUGUGGACGCCAGUCUGCAUGGAGCCGGCCUUGAAAUACCACCCUUUAAUGUUUGAUGUUCUAACGUUGACCCGUGAUCCGGGUUGCGGACAGUGUCUGGUGGGUAGUUUGACUGGGGCGGUCUCCUCCUAAAGAGUAACGGAGGAGCACGAAGGUUGGCUAAUCCUGGUCGGACAUCAGGAGGUUAGUGCAAUGGCAUAAGCCAGCUUGACUGCGAGCGUGACGGCGCGAGCAGGUGCGAAAGCAGGUCAUAGUGAUCCGGUGGUUCUGAAUGGAAGGGCCAUCGCUCAACGGAUAAAAGGUACUCCGGGGAUAACAGGCUGAUACCGCCCAAGAGUUCAUAUCGACGGCGGUGUUUGGCACCUCGAUGUCGGCUCAUCACAUCCUGGGGCUGAAGUAGGUCCCAAGGGUAUGGCUGUUCGCCAUUUAAAGUGGUACGCGAGCUGGGUUUAGAACGUCGUGAGACAGUUCGGUCCCUAUCUGCCGUGGGCGCUGGAGAACUGAGGGGGGCUGCUCCUAGUACGAGAGGACCGGAGUGGACGCAUCACUGGUGUUCGGGUUGUCAUGCCAAUGGCACUGCCCGGUAGCUAAAUGCGGAAGAGAUAAGUGCUGAAAGCAUCUAAGCACGAAACUUGCCCCGAGAUGAGUUCUCCCUGACUCCUUGAGAGUCCUGAAGGAACGUUGAAGACGACGACGUUGAUAGGCCGGGUGUGUAAGCGCAGCGAUGCGUUGAGCUAACCGGUACUAAUGAACCGUGAGGCUUAACCUU